RNAcentral lists this long non-coding RNA (1201 nucleotides) under Oryza sativa tropical japonica subgroup. RNAcentral's name for it is "lncRNA OsKeNa_06g0026750". Lineage: Eukaryota; Viridiplantae; Streptophyta; Magnoliopsida; Poales; Poaceae. The record is from RNAcentral.
CAUCCGCGUAAAAUCCGAACGGUUCAGAUCGAUUCCACCUCCACCUCCCUCAAUCAGCGCACGACCCGCACGGCCCACCCCCCUCCCUAUCGCUCUCCCACCACACCUGCGCCUCCGCCCUCCUCCGGAAUUCCGCUCCCGCACCUCCGCCAUCAGCGCUCCGCUCCGUAUCAGCCGCCGCGCCGUCCUCUGCAUCGCCUGUCUGCCACCGAUCCCCGCCGCCAGCUCGCCCUCCACGAUCCUCCGCCUCCCCGCUGCACGAGGUCCUCCCGUCGCCAGGUCGUCGCCGCCGUUCUGCUCCACCAAUCCCCGCCGCACGAGGUGCUCCCGUCACUAGGUAGCCACCGCACCAUCCUCUGCAUCGCCUGUCUCCACCGAUCCCCUUUGCAUCGCAGGGGUGAGCUGCAGCUAUGGAGUUCCUCGCCGGUGGGGGAGCAGCAGGUGAAUCCCGUGAGAGUUCAUCAGCUGGUGACCAGUCCGGAACUUGGCAUCGUGGAGUACAAUGAACGCGGGGUGCUCAGCGAUAUGUCCCGUCCGGCUCCUCACCUGCAAUGCAUGUGUUUUGGAGAGUGUUUAUGGAUUCUGGAUCUUAGACCCCCUCAACGACUUGGAUCAUCAGUAAAGCUUCAUCUUGAAGGUGCACAUCUGCCGUUGUUUCGUCAAAAUACUAUGCAUGAUCUUUACAAUGUGAUCACAAUAAUGAUACUUGCUGCCAUGAUUUCUAUCACUCAUGCACGCAUUGCCCUUGAUGAUUGUAUGCAGUUGGGAUAUAUUGGUGAGUUCACCCUCUAUCUCUCUCUCAAACCAUUAUUUAUCUUCAUUCACUAUUCACUUACAUUUUCCCUCUCAUCAAGCAAGAAAAUCCUUGGCGGUUCUGGUUUAUAUGACUUCCUGGAAGCAGUAGGAACAACAAGAGUUACUGAACCAUAAAUUGAACUUGCCUUCUUCAUGCAUCAGAUGAACCAUAAAGGGAACAACACUACUACCCUCUCCAAAAUUGAGCUGCUCAGGACUUCGUAGAAAUUUACAGCUUCAGGACAUGUGAUUUAUCUAUUCUCUUUUACUGUUUAUUCUAAAAUGCAAAAAAAAAAGAAAUUUUGUUGUAGCUUAGAUUAAGGCAGCCUCAGCUUUGUGGUUUGCCAAGCCAUGUACUGAUAUAUGAAUGUGAUACUUUAAUUAAUGUUGAAACACAUGAUUAUGU